CGGGCGGGCAGGCGGGCAGGCCGGCAGGCGGGUGCGCGGAGGGCUGGUGCCCCGCAGCAGGUGGGCGGGGUGCGGUUGGCGGCGGCGGCUGGGCCGGGGGCUGCCGGCUGCGCUCGGGCCGUGCGCGGCGGCCGUGCGGGCACGCCAUGGACUUCAACAUGAAGAAGCUGGCGUCGGACGCGGGCAUCUUCUUCACCCGGGCGGUGCAGCUCAAGCCAAGUCCAGCGGCCGCAGUCUUCACCUCUCCACACUCACUUUUUAUCUGGUGUUUUUACUUCUGCCUGCGUUUGCUCUCUAGCCAAUAAACCGUCCUUGUGUGCGAGUC
RNAcentral lists this long non-coding RNA (325 nucleotides) under Homo sapiens (human). RNAcentral's name for it is "non-protein coding lnc-DOLK-2:1". The record is from RNAcentral. Lineage: Eukaryota; Metazoa; Chordata; Mammalia; Primates; Hominidae.